UGUGAGAGAGAGAGAGAAAGAGACAGGACUAGCUGGAGGUAUGCAAGCCACUCGUUGGUGAAGGAGGCGGCGGCGAUGACGGCCGUUAAUUACAAGAAGGAAUAGCUACAAGUUCAGUGGAGUUUGCAGUGUUUAGCGCCAGAUUCUUACACUCUGAGUUCGCGCGUGCACGUGUGUGUGUGUGUGUGUGCACCUACAUACACAUAUGUACGUGCAUGUGUAUAGAUAUAUGCAUGUGUAUAUACAUGUGUCUGUAUGCGUUUAGUGCGUGUGUGGACUCUUUUGGAUGAGGAGUUGGAAACGGUCUGUGUUCCUGUGAUGGGUGAAACCCCGCGAUGCCAGCAUCUUUAGAUUAACAUUACGUCUCCAUCUAUCUAUACACACACACACACACACACACACACACAUAUAUAUAUAUAUAUAUUAUAAAUAGACAUUAUAUAUACAUUUUAUAUAUUAAACACAUCCACUUGCAUAUACAAACACAGGAUUUCUGAAUUAUAUUCUGCAGACGACAUUUUACCAGGAAGGAUUUGUAAACACACCUCAAUCUGCAAAUAAUGAAUUAAAUGCAAUAAUUAAUUGAUACAUUAAUGAUGUUGACAUUAAGUGUGACGACGACGACGAUGGCAACAGUAUCAUGACGACGAUGAAGAUGAUGAUAAUGGUGGUUGUUAUUGAACGACCUCCUCUACUCUCAUAGUUUUUUUUACCUUUUAUUACUUGGCUACCAUGUUGAUUAGUGCGACUUAGCUCUCGCAUUAAAGAGAAUAAACAACCGGACGCACAGCAUUACAAGAAGAGUUCUACCAAAAUCUGUCCCAAUGGCUGAAAGUGAAGAACUUGAAGGUGGAACUCUCUGGAAAUGAAGAUAUUUACACUAACCAACUACCAUUUGACUACCAAUACCCAUACUCUUUGUCUGAAGAACUCAUCGACUUCUAUGAAGACACUGAUGCUGCAGACAGGUUAGAUUAUUAUCAAGAGGAUUCUUCUGUGUUGUGGCAACACCAACUAAAUGAAGCUAAGAACUAUAAAUCUAAUUCUUCGUUUCAACAUGACGGUUCAUCACAAAAUUUCCUGCCUCAUAGCCCCCGAUCUGGGCCUCUUCAAUCAAAAGUUCGGAUGCUAUCAGCACCCUUCAGAAGUGAGUCACGAGCAAAGAUCAAAGAUGCCCUCAUCCGAGGAAAGGAUUACCUUAUGAUGAAAGUUCAAGACUACCAGCAGAAAAUCCGUUCCAAUAUGAAUACUAAGCUAGAAACAGUUCACCCAAACAAUUCUAUUUCUGAUCAUUACCAUUCUCAACAAGACCUCAGUGACAUCAGGAACUGUACCAUGUUACCCACAGAAAAACAUGAUUUUAAUUCCAAAUCAAUGCAAGACAAUACUGAAUGGCCUUCAGAAAACCUUUCAAAAAUUCCCAGCCAGAGUACUCCCCAAUCAUCUGAACUGUAUGAGUCGAAGGUAAAGGAUACAGCUGCACCAUGUAAGAAAGUACCCCACAAUACUCCUCAUGAUGUACCCCAUGGGGUUGAUGAUUUACCUUUGGGUGUUGAAGCCAAUACCCUCAAUGAAAUACCAGCGAGUAAACUGAAUGAAAUGUCACCCUCUAAGCCAAAUGAAACAACAGCCUCUACCAUCAAUGAAACACCAGUCAAUAACUUGAACAAAAUGACCCUCAGUUCUACUUCAGAUGAAAAUGAGAGUAAACCCUUUGAAAAUUCUACAGAUGUGGCCGGAGAGAAACCAGCCUCAAAAGAUACCACCCAACUGGUCAUUAAUCCACAGGACAAAACUCAACAAUGGCUACACACUCUUACAGGAAGACAACACAGUUUUGGCUCUGAUCUCUCAGCUGGGACCAAUUCCAGUAGCAUUGACAUUCUUUUACAGAGCAGAGAAGCAAAUCCUGAAGAAAUCCUUCGAAGUCUUGGAUUUGGAUCUUCCCAAAACGAUGAGGUCAAGGCACGGAUUCCGCAACGUUUCUUUUCUGAUUCUAAGUUCUGCAUUGACGACUUUAAACAAAGAUCCGAACUACAAGAACUUUUUGAUUCCUGGAAAUCUGAAAAAAAUUCCUCAGACCAAUUGAUGCAGCACCCCUCGUUAGGGCCCUGCCUUCACCGUCUAGGGCUUUUGUCGUCUGUCCAGUCACAACCUUGUAAAUUGCCAAGAAGUAGUCUUACAUCACCACAAAGCAUAUUGAUUCCAGACAACCAGAAGGCCCUUGCUGCUCAGGGUUACUAUGAAUACCCUUCAGUGAUGGGUGGCUUAAGAGAGAACUCAAAACAAUCAAUCCUUCCAGCUUCUGAACGACGCAAGAAUUUCAGGAGUACACGCACCCAACAGACCUGGUCUUUGAUAGAACCAGAACAAGAGGCAGAAUCUGAAUUGCAGAAGUUAAAACAAAAUAAGCAUAAUUUUGGAGCUAGUAUUGAUUCUGCUCUAAGCAGUGACCUAGAGAACUCUUUAGAGAGAAGAAAUUGGCAAACCUAUUCCAGAUGGGGUUUCCGGAACCAGCCAAGUAAAGACAGUGAAUCCAGUACUUCCAGCCUUCGAGACCUUCGCUUAGGACAUGUAAAUAAAUUAAUGAGUUUUGAAGAAACUGAUGAUGACUGUGAGGUGUUUUCUCCUUCAGAGAAUCACAGAAGAAAUUUAAAUAACAAAAGUAAUGGUUUCCAAAAUCCAGAAGCUGAAAUAUGUGAUAAUUUUCAAAAGACUUCUUUAGAAACAGAUCUUAAUUCUGACAAACAAACUGAAAGUGGAUUUGAUUUCAGGCAUGGUGCCAUCAUUGAUUCUUUAAACAAUAUCAAUGACUUAAUAAAAUAUUCAAAGUCUACAGAACCUUCUGAACUUGAAGUGUCUCUGGCUUCUGCUGCUUCCAUGGAUAUAUUACACAAUGGUGGAUUAACAACAAUAUCUGCAGAAGAGGCUGAUUUUAGUGAUUAUCCUGCAAACACGAAAGAAGUACGCAGACUGAAGAUUGGCGCUCAAAGGAACCCUUCUAUCUACCGUAUUGGAAGUGCUCAGUCUGAUAGCAGUGGUUAUGUAGAAUCUGACAGUCUGGUGGAGCCACCAAUGUCGUAUCUUGAUGCAUUAUCAGCCAAUGAUGUCGGUGAUCGAGGAGCUUAUGACAGCAGCGAAGCCAUCCAUGCAGGAAUCUGCAAACGACUCAGCAUCAAUUCAGACACAACAGUCAAAGACCUUGCUGCUUCUUCAUCUUCAUCUUCUUCCCAGUGUCCUUGUGAUAAAUCUGUUGGCACUGAACAAAUCUUUAAAUCUGACAGGGCUGUUUCUACUGAUCCCUUCCAAAAACAAACUAUGGCCAGUCAGACGGACACAUGUUGUUUCUGUACUUGGUGUGCUAACCCUAACCAAGUAUGUGCACACCUACACUCUUCUGUACCUUACCAGUCUACAGUUUCUACUGCAUAUGGUAUGUCUCUCCACAUCGAUGCCUCUAAUAAUUUCUCCCACAUAACAGACCCAACUUCAGAAACGAGCCCUCGCUCGGCGAGCAAAAAGGAAACUUCUGUUCUCAAUUUGUUCAUCUCUGACGGAAAUAUUUUGUUCUGUGAUAAUGAUUCUAACAAUAAUCAAAAAUGGAAUAGUGAUGAUGCCGAUGGUUCUUCAAGAUCAGGUUGCAGUUACAGGGAGCUGGAAUCCACUGUAACUAAUCACCCGAAGAGUCAAAUCUGUAUGGGACAUCAGAACUACCAUUACAAAGAUACUGAUUCGCCAUUUGGUCUGCUGAGUAGUCGUUCCAUAAGCUGGAGAGAAGAGACAAGCAAAAAUGUGAUAGAAUACAGAAAACUUCUAAAACUCACGAAUCGGAAGACAUUUAUACAAUCUUUUGUAAAUAAUCCAUUCCUGCCAUACACUCCUCGUGUCAAAAUUGAAAUUUGGGCAGAAAAACCAAUCAACAUGCACCUGCAGGAAGAGAACCAGCUAAUGCAACAUGCUGUUCAACGUUAUAAGUUUGAUUUGCAAAUAAUAGAAAGUACAUUUUUAUCAUGUUAUAACCACAUGGCUGAGUUGUUAUCUGACGAAGAGACGUUAAUGAUGGAUGAAUUGUAUGAGUUGUGGACAGCUGUUAACAUUGAGGUGGGUCAUCUCGAGAAACUCUUAGCUGAACGACAAUAUUUUGUGAGGAAUGGGAACAGUCAACUGACCACUUUGACAUCACUCCAAGUUAUUCCAUUGAUGACUGAACUUCUUAAGGAACAAUUGUGUGCUUUCCAACUAAACAAUGACAUUUUUGAGUUGACUAUGGAACCUCGCCGUUCUAAUCCAAUGCCGUUCUAUCAGCAACCAGGAUGGCAAACUCUCUCAGUACAAAUGCAAAAUUUGCAAAGUCAAAUUACUGGCCAUAAUAAUAUGCAAUCUGUUCGUUUUAAUAGAUCAAUGGAAGAGGUACAGUCUAAGAUUUUAACUAGUAAUCACACACACACACACACAGGUUAUCAAACAGAUGGCUAUGGUUGGCUUGUCCUACCAAACUAUCUUGCUGGAGGACACAAGUAAUCUGAAAGACUCAAUGAUGGUGGAAAUUCAAAGAAACAUAACCCAAAAUUUUAACCAACUCUUCAUGGGAUGAAAAGACUCCUUAGAUGUGCUUUCUGCAGUCAUUUAUUAUUGUUCACAGUUGAUUUGAUAUACGGAGCUUGAAUUCACAUGCAUACAUGUGUGUAUUGUGAAAACAUUUUUCAACUUGUUUCCCUGUGUGCUUUUAAUUAACUCCAAUGAAAUUUGAAACAACAAUAGGACCAAAAGUAUAUAUAUAUAUAUAUAUAACCUUGUGUAUAUAUGUAUAUAUAUAUAUAUAUAUAUAUAUAUACACACAUAUGCAAAUACAACCGUCAUCACCACAGCCACAUCAUGGAUUGAAAUUAAACCUCAUAUUUAUAUUUUCCUCUCUUUGAUGUUGACAGUAUUCCAGACUCGAGCAUCUUCCACAUCCCUUUUGAAGUUUAACUGAUUUUUAAAUCAGGGAUCUCUUUUUAGUUGAAUUUAUUUAGUCUAUUAAAGUCUUUUUUAUUUUUCUAAAAAAACAGACAUUAUUACCAAAGUAACCAAUUCUCUAUUUUCCUAUCAGCUCAUUCAACCCCUUCACCUUUCAUCCAAUUUUGCUUAAUCUUUAAAUUUAAGGAAUGAUAAAUGUUAUUUAACUUUACAUAGGUUUUACAUCACCAAACGAUAUUGUUUUAUUUUGCUUUUGUUCUCUCUCUCUCUCUCUCUCUUUUUUUUACUGUUCUAGCAAUAAAGAUCACAAAAUAUUUAUUAUAUUCUUUAAUUCUAUUUAUUGCUGACUCAAAACUUAUUUUUAUAUCAACAUUUCCACAUUUCCUGCAAGAAUCUACCCUAAAAUAUUCUAAACACCCUUAACAAAUGACCCUUCCUAAUUCUCAAAUUCUUCUCGCCCUGUCUCUUCUUUCAUCUUUGUUUUUAUAAAAUGAAUUGACAUCUUGUAUCUCUUAAAGAAUAAAUCACAUACUCUUGCUAAAAA
RNA transcript from Octopus bimaculoides (California two-spot octopus), 5503 nucleotides. RefSeq lists it as uncharacterized. The record is from RefSeq and is a predicted model, not a curated record. NCBI's taxonomy places the organism in Eukaryota, Metazoa, Mollusca, Cephalopoda, Octopoda, Octopodidae.